AUGGCCGCUCCUCCGCGACGACACCAACCGUCCAGAAGCGGAGUCGCCGCCUCGACCCGGGGUCCCCCCGUCCCCGUUGUGCUCGGCGCCACGCCCAUCCCGAGGCACCACCCGCUCGUUGUCGGCUCGCCCGAGCCUGCCAAGAAGUCCGCCGUGCCGCGGAGGGGCUCCUGGGCCGAGAAGCAUAGCGGCGCCGGCUAUGCCGGGGUGAUUGCAUCACCCAAGGUUGUCAGGCCCAUCGCGCUCAACUUCGAGGAGAGGACGCCCGUCAAGGGGCGGCCCUCGCCAGCGCAGAGCUCGGCGUCGAGGAGAGGUCCAUCGCCGCUGAUGAAUAUCGCGAGCGAGCGAGCCAGCGGCCGUGCGUGCAUCGGGACACGCAGCAAGGAGGAUGAUCUACUACCCUACGGAAGGGAAGGAAGAGGCCGCCGGCGAGCGAGGCACGGCCACGGCGUUGGACUCACCGGGGACGUCUGCUCCUCCCGAGCUCUCCUUUUUGUCCAUUUUUGUUCACUACUACCUGAAGGAAACUGUACUGGAUAG
This 540-nucleotide ribosomal RNA is filed under the name Triticum aestivum (bread wheat). Its description in RNAcentral is "partial small subunit ribosomal RNA". The record is from RNAcentral. Lineage: Eukaryota; Viridiplantae; Streptophyta; Magnoliopsida; Poales; Poaceae.